RNAcentral lists this ribosomal RNA (497 nucleotides) under uncultured bacterium. Its description in RNAcentral is "partial 16S ribosomal RNA". It matches the Rfam family "Bacterial small subunit ribosomal RNA", at positions 28 to 507 of the family's 1533-position model. The record is from RNAcentral.
GAUGAACGCUGGCGGCGUGCCUAAUACAUGCAAGUCGAGCGAAAAGACGAGGAGCUUGCUCCUCUGACGUUAGCGGCGGACGGGUGAGUAACACGUGGAUAACCUACCUAUAAGACUGGGAUAACUUCGGGAAACCGGAGCUAAUACCGGAUAAUAUAUUGAACCGCAUGGUGCAAUAGUGAAAGACGGUUUUGCUGUCACUUAUAGAUGGAUCCGCGCCGCAUUAGCUAGUUGGUAAGGUAACGGCUAACCAAGGCGACGAUGCGUAGCUGACCUGAGAGGGUGAUCGGCCACACUGGAACUGAGACACGGUCCAGACUCCUACGGGAGGCAGCAGUAGGGAAUAUUCCACAAUGGGCGAAAGCCUGACGGAGCAACGCCGCGUGAGUGAUGAAGGUCUUCGGAUCGUAAAACUCUGUUAUUAGGGAAGAACAAAUGUGUAAGUAACUAUGCACGUCUUGACGGUACCUAAUCAGAAAGCCACGGCUAACUACGUG